AAAUGCUGAUGAUUUAUGUGGGUUUAUUUUGUAUCCUAUAAUUUUGCUUAAGUUAUUAAUUAUUUCAACUAGUUUUUUAGUUGAUUCUCUAAGUAUGGCAUAUCAUCUGCAAAGAGUUUAGUUUCCUCAUUGUCCAUUUUAAUUCCUUCUAUUUCCACUUCUUCUCUUAUUGCUAAAGGUAAUAUUUCCUGCGACUUCCUGUGGAGAGGGCUUGAGUGGAGUUGGAUCCUGGAGCUUGAGCUUGAGCUUGGAGGAGCCUUGCAUAUAGCUUUCCUUCAGACCGGUCACUUUAAAAAACUAUUCAAGUUGAGCUCUGUAAUUGUGUUGAAGGGAGCACUGUUCCAAGCUUCAGGUUCUUUGUGUAGUUGCCUUUGGAGCUGGCACUGGGGAUCUAUCUGCUUUCAGUUCUUCCAAGGUGGUAUAAGGUAAGGAAGGAGAGGUAUGUUUAAUACUCUCUCAGCUUGUGCUCUGGUCUGUGAGUACCCCUAAGCACUCCUUGGAACUAUGACCAGGAUCCCCUGUUCACAUGUGGCUGAAAGUGCUGGUGUUUGCAAUGUUCCUCCUAACACUGCAACUGCACCCCAAGACUAAGACCUGGCUCUACAUAUGGGCAAUUUAAUAAGAGUCUUGCAUCCAGAAUCAGCAAAGAGACCCUGGUAAUAUCCUUCUGAGCAGUUGUUCAACCUCCUUACCAUCUGUGGUUUAAAAUUCUGGAAGCCUUGGCUGCUGCAUCAGUUGUGCCCAAGGUCUGUUGUCUUGGUGGGACCUUCCUUGGUGUGCUGUGCUCCACCUCCACCUCGGUGCACUAGAUGCCUUGGGCUGGCCUUCUAAGGUGUUUUGGGCCAGAUAGAUACUUUAUCUUGUCUUUUUGUGCAUUAUGUGGCUCCAAAAUUUGUUUUUUGGUGGUGUUGCUUUUUGGAGGGUAAUUUGGUAGAAAUCAGAUGGGUCUCUAUACCUUCUCUACCAUUUUGGCUCUACUACACCCCCCUUCCUAGCUUAGAGAGUUAUCUUGAAGCACUAAGAGGUUAAGUGAUUUGCUCAAGGUCACAAAGUAUGCAUCAGAAGUGAGAGGACUCUAGUUGUUUCUGACUCUCAGACCAAUUCUCCAAUAUUCCAUCCCAUCUUGCAUUUUCCUUAGUACUGUCAACGUGGAAUAUAGAAGCCCCCAAAUUGGUAGCCUAAUAAGAUUCUAUGACCCCCAGUUUAGUUAGAUUAAAGGUGAAAAGCCCCAAGUUUGACAUUGUCACAUGAGAGUUACUACCUGAGGGGAAAGUCCAACCAAUGGAUCUUAAAGUAGUUUAGAUGGGAACAGCUAAUCCCAUCAGGUGUUAAGUAACUCUUGUCCCAAUGGUUUCUCCCCUUAGUCCAAAGUCCUUGACCUAGGCCCUUGGCUGGAUCUUUCCCUUUUGGGUCCCUUGUAAAGCAUCUA
Molecule: long non-coding RNA, 1429 nt
Organism: Monodelphis domestica (gray short-tailed opossum)
Lineage: Eukaryota; Metazoa; Chordata; Mammalia; Didelphimorphia; Didelphidae
Source: Ensembl